AUCUGGGCGGCGGAAUUCAGGAUGGCUGGCGGGCUUCGCGCUUGUCCGGUCGUUUGAUAUUUCCGUCGCCGUGUCAGACGUCGCGACCUGUUUGUCGUCGGUCCAUGCUCGGAGGAAUCGCGAUCGAGUUCGUUGCGUGGUGCGUUUCGGCGUGCCAUGCGGCGAAGACGUGACUCUCUGACUGACGGCGGACAGUAAGCAACGGUGUCCGGCGUCGUGUCUCGCACUCGAUGCCGGUGCCGGUCUGCGACGAUUUCUUCGGGCCUCUUUCCGACCCGUCUUGAAACACGGACCAAGGAGUCUAACAUGCGCGCGAGUCGCGGGGUUUCGAGCGUACCACGGUGCGCUCGUUACUUGCGAAACCCGUACGUUGAAGGCGUAAUGAAAGUGAACAGGGAAGAUGGCGUUCCGAGUCCACGUACCGUGAUCGAGUGUCGCGGCCGGACGUCCGCACUCCCGGGGCGUCUCAAUGGCUCGUCGCGGACGCGGACGGUCGUCUCUCGGGGCGAUCGUCGGUCAGCGUCGGACCGA
This 531-nucleotide ribosomal RNA is filed under the name Fiorinia theae. RNAcentral describes it as "eukaryotic LSU rRNA". Lineage: Eukaryota; Metazoa; Arthropoda; Insecta; Hemiptera; Diaspididae. The record is from RNAcentral.